RNAcentral lists this ribosomal RNA (408 nucleotides) under uncultured Mycobacterium sp. RNAcentral's name for it is "bacterial SSU rRNA". It matches the Rfam family "Bacterial small subunit ribosomal RNA", at positions 509 to 914 of the family's 1533-position model. Lineage: Bacteria; Bacillati; Actinomycetota; Actinomycetes; Mycobacteriales; Mycobacteriaceae. The record is from RNAcentral.
CAGCAGCCGCGGUAAUACGUAGGGUGCGAGCGUUGUCCGGAAUUACUGGGCGUAAAGAGCUCGUAGGUGGUUUGUCGCGUUGUUCGUGGAAGUCCACAGCUUAACUGUGGGGGUGCGGGCGAUACGGGCAGACUGGAGUACUGCAGGGGAGACUGGAAUUCCUGGUGUAGCGGUGGAAUGCGCAGAUAUCAGGAGGAACACCGGUGGCGAAGGCGGGUCUCUGGGCAGUAACUGACGCUGAGGAGCGAAAGCGUGGGGAGCGAACAGGAUUAGAUACCCUGGUAGUCCACGCCGUAAACGGUGGGUACUAGGUGUGGGUUUCCUUCCUUGGGAUCCGUGCCGUAGCUAACGCAUUAAGUACCCCGCCUGGGGAGUACGGCCGCAAGGCUAAAACUCAAAGGAAUUGAC